RNAcentral lists this ribosomal RNA (1726 nucleotides) under Spondylus violaceus. Its description in RNAcentral is "16S ribosomal RNA". It matches the Rfam family "Bacterial large subunit ribosomal RNA", at positions 473 to 2769 of the family's 2925-position model. Lineage: Eukaryota; Metazoa; Mollusca; Bivalvia; Pectinida; Spondylidae. The record is from RNAcentral.
AUAACGGGUGGCUUAUAAUUUGAAAUGAGCGCGUGAGCGAUAGUGAAAGGUAAAGUAACUUUUAGCAUGUAAGUUAAAUCAUAGACGUGGAAGAAUAACAGGUGAGAAUAACAGAUUGGUCCGGUGUACCUUUUGCAUCAUGGGGAAGUAAGUAUGUAUGCUUAGUGAAGGAGCCCGAAAGUUAGCGAGUUACCUGAACGUACAAUUGCUGGGGGUUGACGUCUGAUUAUUCAUCUCUUUACGGUUGGGUCGUGUGUGAUAUGCUAAUCGCGGUGGCAGAUAGCUGGUUGGCCCAGAAAUAUAUCUUAGUAUAGCCCCUCCAUUGGCUGCAGGGAGGUGUCUUUUUUUAAAAGCAUGUUUUAGGCGGGGGGAGUUGGUUUGGUCUAGGCUAAGCUAGGCGAGCAAUGGUGAAGGAAACAGGGUGGCGAUUCGUGGUUCUAAAGUGGGUUUCAAUUAGCCAGCUUCUAAAGGAGUUAGUUGCGUAAUAUGAUUUGUUUGAGUUUAGGUUCGAAAUAGGUGUUCCUCCGAGAUAUGGGUCCGUUUGAUGAAAUUGUGAAGGAAUCUUAGUGAUAAUGCUUGUAUUAGUAUAGUCGGGGUGGAUUGUGUCCUGGUGCAAGCGUAAUAGCCUAGGAGGUGCUGAGAUGGUUAUAUGGGGUUUUGAACUAACGAUUAGGAACCUCUUCUGACAAAUUCUCAGUGGCGGCAUGACGUUCCAGGCCUAAUAGCCUUUGUUCACGGCCAUGAGGGGUGGCUUUCUCUUGAUCUGUAGCGAAGGCCGCGUUUGGUUCUUGGUGUUUCAAGGGCACAACAGCGGUAUCGGUGGUGAGAGGGAUUUAAGGUUGCUCGGGCCCGGUUCGGAGGGCGAAUGCUACAGGAUUAGAAAUUUUACUUUAAGCCUAAGGAAGCACAAGAAAAAAAAUUUAGUUAAUCGAAAGGUUCUGCCACUAACUUACGUUGCUGGAAAAGAGAGAUAAAGGAACUCGGCAAAACUUAGCCUUUAACUCUACCAGGGAAUACCGCAUAUCGGAGAUAAACUAAGCGCAAUGAGACCGCCUGUUUAUCAAAAACACGUCUCUUCGGUAUCACGUGGAGUCGGUGAUCUUCCCAGUGGGUGUACGCAUUUAAACGGGGGCAAAGGCAUGUCCAAAGGUAGCUAAAUUACUGGACCAGUAAUUCUGGUUCAUACAUUAAAAAGUGAAGGGGCUGACGAGUCUCUAACUGUCUCUAUAUACAAACUCAUUGGAAAUUUAGUUGGAAGUGCAAACGCUUUCGUGGGUGAGAAAGACGAGAAGACCCUAUGAAGUUUAUCUAGUGAACCUUGGGGAGGGCUUUAGUCCAGGCGUCCUGGGGGUGGCUUUUACUGGGGCAGUAGGAGAGCAGAAUAAGACUCGACCGCUGAUAUAGAAAGCUGAUAAGCCGAGGAUCCAUUGGAGGAAAGGAGGCGAUCAGGAGAAAGAGUUACUCUAGGGAUAACAGCGUAAUUUUGCCCAUUGAGGUCUUAUCAUUAGGCAAGGUUGCGACCUCGAUGUUGGCUCUGGGUAUCCGUGGACUUGCAGGAGGUCCAAAUGGUUGGUUUGUUCGCCCAUUAAAACUCAACGUGAGCUGAGUUCAGAUCGGUGAAAGUUAGGUCGGUUUCUAUCUUCUUUCCUUAAAAUAAUCAUCGGUGCGUACGAGAGGAUAAUCGUGGUUAGUUUUAAAACUAGGCAGGUCAGGUGUCCAGAUAAGU